GAAUGGUGAAAAUAAUAAUAAACUAACUAGACCCAACUGUUGGAGUCCAAAUCCGAAAUAGUUAGCAGUUUACUGAUAUAUUAAAGGAUAGAGUUCCAAAGUGAUGUUUAUCCUCUUAAAUAAUCACAACCCAGUCUGAUCAAUUUCUCUCUCUCCAGGACUAUAAUAUGUUCUCCAUGCUUUGCAUACUAGUCAUACUGCUAUCACUUUCACUACUCUUGCCUCCAUCUUCAACCACAAACACUCCCGUAAUUGUUAUGGAGAAAUAUAGAAAUCUUGGCCAAGUAAAACCGCCUCCAUGUCCUGCACAUCAUCCUUCUUGUCAUGCACCAAGCGGUAGUGGUCCUCCUCAUAAUCCACCCAGGGGAAAGUACUGUCCUCAUCCAUCACACUGUUACUAGGAAGAAAGAAAGCAUUACCAGGACAACCCAAUUUAAUGGCUAUCAGAUACGAUGACUUGUGAAUUUCUGUUGUAAUUUUUUUUUUCAAUCCUGCUUAAAUAUAAUGUUACAUAUAUUGUAAUAUUUACUUAUGAGCUGUAAAGCUUCCAACCUUAGUAUUUAUUUAUAUGCUUUUUUUUUUUC
Long non-coding RNA from Gossypium arboreum, 584 nucleotides. RefSeq lists it as uncharacterized. The record is from RefSeq and is a predicted model, not a curated record. NCBI's taxonomy places the organism in Eukaryota, Viridiplantae, Streptophyta, Magnoliopsida, Malvales, Malvaceae. The transcript is spliced from 2 exons.